GAGAUUGUUAACCCCCUAAUGGAUUUUGAUGAAUACAAAACACUAGAGUAAAAUUCCAUUAUAUCUUAACAAUUCAAUUGAGAAAUUCAUGUGUUUUAUUUAGAAUAUUGUUAAGAAAUGUCUAGGCAAGUUCCCAUAAUUUUUAUGAAUUUAUUGAAGAAUAUUUUGAGCUAAAGAAAAAGUUCAGGGACAGCCGAGACGUCUCCUGAUAGUUUCAGAGACGUCUCUGGCACAAGCAGGAAGAACU
RNAcentral lists this long non-coding RNA (247 nucleotides) under Phoenix dactylifera (date palm). Its description in RNAcentral is "long non-coding RNA (PDAC_LNC017972)". The record is from RNAcentral. Lineage: Eukaryota; Viridiplantae; Streptophyta; Magnoliopsida; Arecales; Arecaceae.